UAUGUUUCAAUUGUAUAAUGAAUUGAACCCCAAUUUAAACCAAUUAUCCAGCCCAAAUCCUAACCAUACCCGACCCACGACCCAAUUAGAAGAAUCCGCUUGGACCCCCCACCUACCCAUUUAAUCUUGGUCGUCGAUUAAAAUGAUCAACGGCCACCAAACCCUCUUUCCUAAAUUAAUUCCCAACUACCCCCAAACCCUAACCAUUUCUCAUCUACGGCCGUCUUUGAAUCCCCUUCUCUCUCAAUCGUCUCUCAAUCCUCUAAAACUCUAGUCGCCGCCAUCAAACUACAAUCUUAAAAUCUCAUAAGUCAAUCGCUUCCAAGGCCAUCGGAGGCUAGUAUCCACCUCAUAUAGCUUCUACAUGCCCGAUUAUCAUGGUUUCAAAGCUAGAUCUUGGGAAAUUUUGGUCCAGAUCUUGGUUAUUUUCAGUUCUAUGGCUGUCUCCGGUAAUCUUUGACCUUGCUCCGGCCAGCCAUGGCUAUUCAAUCCUGACUCUUGACUUCUCCUGCUUAGAUCGAUGAUUUUCCAAGUCUUUCUCACCAUUUGAGGUUCUCCUGAAACUCGAACCUUUAAGGUUUUUCCAAUUUGUUUUAGAUCUAUUUAAGAUUCGUUUUUACUCUAAACUUUUAAACAUUUUCUCAAGUUUUCUUUCAAAACUCUAACUUCAAGAACCCUUAUCUUUUCUGAUUUGGAUUUCUGUUAAGUUAUUUCAAAGCUUUCUCCGAUUUUUAACAUGUUCUACUGUGUUUCCUUAUGUCGUUCUUCUACCUGAGUUUGCAUGCUAAGGGCCUUAACCUUUUUUAAGAUUUCUGUAUCUAUUUUGUUAGUAUUUGUCUGAUUUACUUGUUUUUCAUCUCUAAAGCUUGAUUGAUGGGGAAACCCCUAAAUUUUGGAUUCAUUCGAGUUCUGAGACUAUUUGCUGUGUGAUUUACUUGUCCAUAAUAUCUAAAUUUGAUUUGUUUAAAAACCCUAAUUUCUUUGGAUCUAUUCGAGCUUCUGAAAUUGCUUCAUCUGUUGCUCGACUGGAUUUUAAAUCUUUUGUUUCAACAUCCGCUUCUUUAUGUGAUUUUGAUUUCCUGCCAUCAUUGAAACUCGACUAUAUUUUUCAGGAAGAUCUUUUACUUGGCCUUUUGCAUGAUUCUAUAUUCUUUCUUUUCUCUUUUACAUAUUUGGUGAAGUUGACCUAUGUGACUACCAUGUUUCGAUAGUUCACUAUCUACUGAUUUUAUGAUUGUUAUUGUAUGAUGCUUCUCUUUGUCAUAAGUUCAUCAUCGCAUACCUAAUAUUUAUGCACUCUUUUAUAUGCUAAAGUUCCUUCUAAAAUGGCCUUCAAUUGUGGACUGAUUUCCAGCCAUUCCUUGUGUAAUUCUAAUUGCACUCGUGUGUUAAGUAAUUGAUUCUUUUCUUGCUUACUGAUUUUCCUGUUUCUUGGAUUGGUUUGAAAACUUCCCUUUAGAUUUCGAUUCUCCUGUUAUUAACUUGGUUUAUUUGUUUAUUCAUGGGAACCCAUGUUAUCCUCCCCAAAUCAAUAAUUUUGAAUCCCUGACCCUUGAUUUACUAUGUGUUGAUUGUCUCCAUAUUCGGCAAAUUAUUGUGUUUCUUACCUUAUUUGGUUAACCGAGUAUUUCAAAAAUUCUUCAUUAUCUAUUCCCUUAAUUAAACCUCGAUGUACUUACCCCUAAUUGUCUGUUCUGCACAUGAUGCUCUACAUGAUUUCUUUCCUUAAAUGUUUUCUGCCCAUUACCGUUUACAUUUAACUCCUUAAUUAAACGAAGUCCUCAGUACUGAUUUGAUAUAAUUAGUACAUAGUUCCAUAAUUACUACUAAACUAUGAUUCUUGCCUUAUUUUCUGCCUAUUUCAAACUAUAAAUACCUUGCUCUUUCAUUAACACAUACGAACACUCUUAGUUCUAAAAAUUACUUACACUCAAAAAUAUUCUCUCUUGCUUUACUACUUGUACUGUUGCCUGUCUUUAAAAUCCUGCUACCCGCCUUUACUAUAUUUUGCUUCUUUGAACUAAUAUGUUCUGAUUAAGAUUUUAGCAUCAAAACAAUAUGUUUACUUAAUGUUUUUUUUUUGCAUUCUUAUCUACCUACUGCUUGUAUCUAAUUUAGUACUUUCAUUUAGCAUGCUGUGAGUUGUUUCUCCUGUCCUGAGUCAAUGUAUUCUGAAUCCCAAACCCUUUAACCCGAUGUUUCAUACUUAUUGUUUGUUUGAGGCAUGUCAUUAUUGAACAUUGUUGUCCAUAACUCAAACUUGAUCCCCCCCGGGAUCAUAACCUCUAUGCUUUCUGUGAUUUUGUGUGUUUUGGUGGGGUUAUAGUCAUUCCGGCAUCUUCUAUUGAUGUGCAUGCUCAAAGCUGACCAUUUGCCUAAGUACGUGAGCUCUCUGCAAUAAUUUCCCAACCCCUGAACCCCUUUUGUGUGCAGUUAUCAACUCUGUAACUAUUUCCCAGCAGCCCUUUGCCUCUUCUUUACUUCCUUGAGUUCUUAAAGUUCUGUUUCUGAACUUCCACUCUCUCUUAGACUUAAGUUUUGCCCCCUAUUGUGAUCCUUACCUUGGGACCAUUGAUCUCCCUCUGAACUAGGACACCUGAGGGCUUGAACUUCCAUAUUGCACUUGUCCCUAUUCUGGUUAUGAAAAUUGGGUGUGAGUACUGCCCCUGGUCUUAUUAAGGCCCUUAGGGAACUCUGAUACACUCAAAUCUGAAGAAAGGAUAUGGAUUAAUGGUCUUUGAGUUGGUUUAUCUCAUAACUCAAGGAGGAAGUCAAGAAUCAGGCUUCCUAUGGUUGUACUUUUCUUUGUAGAUUUUUUCUUUGAUGUUAUUUUUUAUUCUAGUUUGUAAUAAGUCGUAAUAAACCUUUGGGGUUGGCUAGUCAAUCUGCAAUAUGUGUUUAAGGAGUGAUUACCAGAUAUUAUGUGGGGUGAUCACAUAUUGCAUAUUGACCACGUGAUAAUGUCACGUCUAGCCAUUCAUUAAGGAGUGAUUACCAUAUAUUAUGUGGGGUAAUCCAUAUUUUUAAUAAACAUAGGACCCCCUUCCUUUGUUCUUCAUUUCUUUUCUUUUAGCACUUUAAGUCCUUAUUUAAAAUCAACUUUCCUAAUUGUUCUUUCAAACUUCGCUUACUUUCAAACCAUUAUGUGUUGAAAUCCCCUCUUAGUUUAGCCUUAUCUGCCUAUAUGUUAAUUGCACGUCAAUUCACAAUAAUUUUCUGGCCGGGAACUUCAAGGGGUGCCUAACAAUUUCCCCUUAGGAUAGCUUCAAGUCCGUACCCUAUCUCUGGUUAUUUAAAUAUGUCACGGCCUGAAAGUCCCACCUCCAGGAGUCGUGAUGACGCCUACUCGUAGAAGCUACGCAAGACAUGAACUUUGAAACCGUUAAAUCUCUCAUUUUAAUUCAGUUUCACCUAUUAAGAGCAUUUAAAUGAAAACAGAAAUAAAAUUUAGCGAAAGUCAUAAAUAAAGAUGAAACCAGCAUAUCCAGGAAACCAUUACAUGUCUCUACCCAGAACCCUGUGUCACAAUAUCCAUGGACUACAAAGAAUACUACAUACAAUAAUUUGAAGAAAAAAUAACACAAUUUAUCUCGAAUAUAUGAGAUAACAGAAUAUAAAAUAAGAUAGAGGAGACGUCGGGCCAACGGAUGCCUGCAAGGCUACCUCGAUGUCUUGGUGGACUGAAGGCUAGAUCCCGAGCUACUACUGCUGACCAUAGGAUGCUUCAGUUUCUUCACAUAAAAUCAGAGUGUAGCAUCAGCACAACCGACUCCAUGUGCUGGUAAGUGUCUGGCCUAACCCCGGCGAGAUAGUGACGAGACUAGGACCAGACUCCAGAUAAACCUGUGCAAUAUAUAUAUAUAACAAACAAUUAAAGCUGAGGAAGGAAACAUGCUUCGGCGGUAGCAUAUAAAUCAGAAUAUCAAAGAAUAAUAAGGAUACUACAAUUUAACUUCUAACACGGAUAAAGAGAAAUAAAGUCAACUUUUACUUUCAGUUUUAUCUUGUUGAAGGCGUGCAACCCGAUCCCAUUUCUCAUAUCUUGUUGUAGACGUACCACCCCCUUCCAUCUCAUUAUAUCUUGUGGUAGGUGUACCACCCGCUCCUAUUUUAUUAACUCUCGUGAUAGACGUACCACCCGCCCCCAUUUCAUCAAUCUUGUGUUAGGCAUACCACCCGCUCCCAUUUUAUCAUAUCUUGUGGUAGGCGUACCACCCGUUCCCAUUUCAUUAUAUCUUAUGGUAGGCAUACCACUCGCUCCCAUUUUCUCAUGUCUUGUGGUAGGUGUACCACCCACUCCCAUUUUUUCAUAUCCUGUGGUAGGCAUAACACCGGCUCCCAUUUAUAAUUCAUCACAAAAUUACAAGAAAUCAUGGCAAGGGAACAAAAGCAAUAUAAUAACUUCCCAGCAUGGGAACAACAACAUCAAAAUAGUCAUCCCGGUAAGGAAGAAUCAGACCAAUCCUAUCUCAACUUUUACCCAGCUCAAUUAAUGACUGUCGAUGCCCCCUUUUUCUCUCGCGAGGCAAAAAAAUCGGGUUUAUGACAUUAUGGGUGGAAUAACUCUUUUAUCCCCUCUUUGGGGAAUUUGGGCUAUGGAGUUUGAAGAGUCACCACCUAAUGAUUAUAGUGCAUUAGGACACUUUUUUGGGAAAAGAAGAAGGAUUCAAAGGAAAACCAGAGUUUGGGUAAGGGCUUGAGAUUAUCUCGAGGGGAAGGUGUUAGGCACCCCUCAAGAUCCACUAGUGNNNNNNNNNNNNNNNNNNNNNNNNNNNNNNNNNNNNNNNNNNNNNNNNNNNNNNNNNNNNNNNNNNNNNNNNNNUAAAAGAAGAAGGAUUUGAAAGAAAACCAGAGUUUGGGUAAGGGCUUGAGAUUAUCUCAAGGGGAAGAUGUUAGGCACCCCUCAAGAUCCACUAGUGUGGUUCCUGGCCUUGCUUAGAUGUGACAUUAAGGAUAAUAGAAAUAGAUACGCAAAGUUUGCACAUAAGAAAUGCAAGAAAGUUGACAAUUUUGAAAGAAGGAUGUCACAAGUGAAAGGGAAUUUUCAAGAAAACAUUUAAAUAAAGGAAAAUUAAAGAGGGCCCUAGGUUUAACUAUACUAUAGAUUAUUCGAUGCAAUAUCCCGCACAUGUUCCCAAAGAGGGGUCGCCUUAUGAUAUUAGCGCAUCGUCAUCAUCUCCAUAUUCUACCAUUCCCAUCUUGUUAAGGUAUUUAAGCGUGUUUAGUCUCGUUUACUUAUUGCAUUCUAGUACACGUCCCAACCUAUCAGUCCCGGGGUAUAUGGACUUCUAAUCCUAGAAGGGAAGAAAGGGGAUGAGGGCAUAUAUGGAGUUUAAAGGUAAAAAUGCUAAGGUGUCAAUAAAAAACAAAUAGCACAUAAGGGGGAUAACCAGAAAUACAAAGGAUGCACAUAAACCCCCUUAAGCCAUACAACAAUUAGUUUAGCAUGACUUGCAAUUACUGAUUUGGUCUUAAGAUUAAAAGCGAAAGUGGACAGAUUAGUUUAACACAAAGAGUUUGAUAAUAAAUCUACUUUGGGCCCCUCGGGUCCGGUUUGUUAGAAAUUAAAAUACUUUAGGCGAGUGAUUUAGAAAAUACUGGUUUUAGAUAAGGUACUCAGACGCAGAAGAGCUAUAAAGGAAAGUAGAGAUUGCAGUAAGUUUAUCAGCAGAUUUUGGAAGCAUCAGACUGUUUGAGUAAAAAAUGCAGACGAGUUAUACAUGAGUUUCGAAGGUAGGAGUAUUUUGAGAAAAAAGUUGGUUGCAGGAAUGUUUUAAAGGGAGUUUCAUAUACUGAUUAAAAUGCUUAGGCGAAAAUAUUUUUUUUAAAAAGACUGUUCAUGGAAAAGAAUACAAAUUUGUAGAGUUUGAAAGCACACAUGGUUUACAAAAAGAUUUGUUGACAAACAUUAAUUAAAAAAAUUGUUAAGAACCAAUUCACCUGAUGUUUCUUAAACGGAUUAGGUGAGUUGCAAUUAAUCCUACAGGCAUGAAAUCUACGUUUCGAUUUUUAAAAGGGUUCUUAAUGUAUUGAUAAAAGAUGAAUGUAAUUAUCCUACAGUUUGCCUAACGUAUAUGCAAGUCCUAUAGACAUGAUCUCUAUUAUGCUUGCAAUACAAAAUCCUAUAGGCAUGAUUCUGAAUGAUAUACAAUAGUAAGGUCCUAUAGGCAUGGUUUCUAAGUGAUUUGCAAUAUUAAGGUCCUACAGGCAUGAUUUCUAGAUGAUUUGCAAUAUUGAAAUCCUAUAGGCAUGAUUUCUACACAUGGACUGAUAAAAAAACAUAAACCCCUCCCAUGCCCUUUUACUAUGUCCCCCAAAUUCUUUUACAAAGUUACUACAAAAAUGGAAGGGAAAUAAAUACAUCAAAACUAAAAAAUGGACCCGAGGAAGCCCAAAGCAACCUUAAUGUCCAACAUAUGUAUUUUACCAAAUCCGGGCUCCAGAUUCCAAGGCCUUCACUUAGAGUGUUGUCAAAGUUCCAAGGGCUUUAUGAAGCCCAGGAAAUGCUUACACACUAAAGAUUGAAUUGAGUAGUGCGAUGUGUGGAAUUAUCAGCCCUUAGGCAUCCAAAUUCAGAGGGAACUCUAGGGUCCCUAAGCAUGGCUUACCAUGGGAGGUAGGACUUAAAGGACUAGGAAUAAGUGUAAAGUGAGGGGAUUAGAGGAGACGAAGGCAAAGGAUGGUCAUACCUAGUCAUGAAUGGGACUGGCACACCCCUAAUACUUUACUUAAUUCAAGCAAUUAAAAGAGCAUACUUUCAGAAGUCAGACAUGGGUCUGACUGGUGAUUGGGACACUACCAAACCCUACUCCAGGCUCAACACAUAAAAGGAGUUAAGGGAAUAGAAUUGAUUUGAGUGGAGGUUCAAAGAACCUGAUCCUAUAUGAAGGAUAGAAAUGAGAUGCUACCUUAACUUGGGACAUACUCACAUAUAAGGGGCAUUAAAGGGAAAUAGGAUCAUGUAGAAGCGAGAAAUAAACACAUAGUUUUAGAGAAUAAUAUUUAAAUGGCGGAGACCUACCAGUUGCAAGUGUCAAACACCAGAUAGUUUAGCCUUGGCUUUCAGCUGGCUAAACAGAAGCAGCAGCACAAGUAGUAGAAAAGAAAAGAGAGAGUUUAGUGUGUGUGUUGAACUGAAUUGUUCGUGGGUUUUGAAGAAGAGAAAUAUGGGUAUUUAUAGUUUUUGAAAACAUGUAGUAAGUAAGGUAGAAAAUAAUUUCAGUUCCAAAUUACAAUCAAUUAGGAGAAAGGACUUCCUUUAAUUAAGGAGUUGGAUUUAGUAAUAAAAACAGAGUUCUAUUUAUGGAUAGACAAUCAAGAACCCUUUGUAAAAUAAAGGGUAAAUACAUAGGAAGUUUUGAAAAUACACGGCUUUAAGCAAAUAAGGCAAGAAUGAAAUAAGUAAUCACAUAGUAAAUCAAGGAAUCAGGGAUUCGAACUCAGUAUUGAAUUCAGUCAGAAUAUAGGUCCAAAUUAGUCAAGGACAGAAUCAAAAAUAAAUUCAUAGGAAAUCAACCCCCAAAAUUAGGGUUAUUUUGAUAGGGGAAGUCUGACUAUAAAAAGAUACACAAACUUAAAAAUGCGAGGCUAAAUUAAACUGAGUAGCCAUGUAAUGAAAGAGCAGAAGAACAUAGCCAUGAAUGAAACUAGAAGUUCUUGCAAAGCUUAGUAAGAAUUAGAAGCAUGAGGCGGGUUUAAAUAGUUAGGAUUUUGAGAUUAAACAGGCAGAAGAAAAUCACACACAAAAUAAAAAACACCCAAUAUCUAGGGUUUUUGUCAUUUUUCGAGUGUAAAGAAGAAAGCAUAGGUGAAGAUGAACUCAGAAAGAAUAUAAACAUUGACGAAAAGCAUAAGGAAAGCAAAGAACACAGUAAAGAAGCAACUCGAAAACCCUAGAAACAACACGGUAAAAAAAUACAUAGGAAUCAUAGUAGAAAUACAUAGUAAUUACAGCAAAAGUAAAAGAAAUCACAAUAGAGCAAAAAAAAUAGAAAAUCGGAGAAACCCUAAGUUUUAAGAAGAUGAACAUUUCGAAAACAAAAUCGGCAAAAAAAUAUGGAAAACACUUUGAAAUCUUAGAAAAUAACAUAGAUCUGAAGUAGAUCUUAAAGAGAAACAAAUAAGAAAAAACUCGGAUACUUAGGGUUUCAGAGAAAACUCUAGAGAAUGAGAAAGGCCAUGGAAAGGGAUGGUCCAAAGUAGGAGGUGGACCCACAUCCUAGGACUUGCCGGAAAUGGGCCAGAAAUGGCCAUAAAAACUCAAAUCGGAGGACCUAUGAACCAUGGAUCUUCAAGGUUAGGCCUUGGAUCAUUGAGUAAAGAGAGGAUAAGGGUGAGUGGGGGUGGAUAUGGGUUACACAGGGCUUAGGAAGCCAUGGUUUCCGAUGAAACAAGGUCGGAAAUUGGUCGGAGAAGGCUAGGGUUUCAGAGGGUGGUUGAGAGCAUUUGGGAGGCAAAGGGGGGUUCAAAGGCAGCUGCUGAAGAGAGAAUGAAGGGGAUUAGGGUUUGGGUUUGGUUUAAUUUUGGAAGGGGAAAUGCGGACCAUUGAUUAAAACAAUCAAUGGUUCUGAUUUAAAGAUGGGGCUCUGGGCGGGUUAGUUAAUAGGGUAUGGGUCAGGUAAUUUAUGAAAUUGGUUAGUGUAAUUGGGGGUUAGAUUGGGGCUGAAAUUAGGGCUAAAAUCGGAAUUAACAGGACUACAAUUUAAAUAGCCAAUUUUUUCCAUUUUGAUUAUAUAAAAUAGUAAAUAAUGUUCAAAAAUCAAAUAAAAAAUAUUGAGUUAAUGAUCAAUGCAGAGUACUAAUUUAAAAAUAUUAGAAAUAAUUUUGUGAUUACAAAUGCUAUUAAAUCGAGCAAUAGGCUAAAAUUGCAAUUUCAUGCAAUUUUAGUUUAAAAAUACCAAAUGAGCUUGUAAAAUUAUGUAAAAAUCCUAUAAAUUAUAUAUUUGUGUAAAUAUGAGAAUAAAAUAAAUUAUUCACAAAAAUUAAAAGUUUUGAGAAUAAUUAUUGGUUUUUAUAGUGCAAAAUAGGCUGGUUUAAAAAUCUUUAAAAAUUGGGGAAAAAAAUACCGAAAGCUUUGUGGAUGCUUAUAUAUGAUAUUUUGGAAGUAUUUUGAGUAUUAAAAUACAGAGGAAAAAAUUGGUAUCAACAGCUGCCCCUAUUUACCCGAGGAGGAUGAAAGAGUUGUCGGGUAAAGAUAAGAUGGCCAAUUUUGACCGGAGACGGCGAUUGUAAAAGAAUAUUGACCGCGCUCUGGUCUCCAAGCUGCCUACAUAUCCCUGGGUUUAGAGGAAUCAGUCCGUAUGUAGUUCAAGAACCAUUGAUGGAACAUGCCGAUGGGAAUUCGGAAAAAAUGGACGCGAUGGUUAGAUCAUGGAGGGCGCUUGGAAUCGGAAAAACUGUGGAGAAAUGGAGAAGGAUCGCCCGUGCUGAGAUGGCUGUGACCAUCCAAAGUACCUGCAAAUGGGUGAUGUGCGUAUAUAUUGCGUAAUUUAAACUUGAUGCAAAUUUCCGUUGGACCAUGAAUAUUUGUCUUCGGACGUUUAGGAUGAUAUCCUCAGACUAUGAUGUCCUGCGCCAAGAAAAGCAUAAAAGUAAGGGUACGUAGGCCAUGAAAUGAUGUUCUUGGGCUAUGCAGAUGGUGCCUUUGCACUAUGGCGCCUUUGAACGAGUUGACGAUCUUUCAGCCCAUGAGAAGGUGACAAUCUUUCAGCCGAAUGACAAUUAAAAUGCAGGUGGCGAUGUUUGAGCCACUCAAAAAAUAAAGAGGCAAUAUUUCAGCCAUGCAAGACGGAGACAAUACCUAGUCUAGAAAGGUGGAUAAUAGCCUUAUGCAAUACGAAGGUAGAGCAUAACCUCGGAAGGCAGAGAGUAGCCUUAUGCAAAAAUGUAGAUGGAGACAGAGCUUAGUCUCGGAAGGAAGAGAAUAGCCUUAUGCAAUAUGGAGGUAGAGCCUUAACCUCGAAAGGCAGAGAAUAGCCUUAUGCAAGAAUGCAAAUGGAGACAGAUCUUAGUCUCGAAAGGUAGAGAAUAGCCUUAUGCAAUUUGGAAGUAGAGCUUAACCUCGAAAGGCAGAGAAUAGCCUUAUACAAAAAUGCAGAUGGAGACAGUGCUUAGUCUUAGAAGGCAGAAAAUAGCCUUAUGCAAAAAUGCAGAUGGAGACAUGGCUUAGUCUUAAAGGCAUAUGAUAGCCUUAUGUAGGAUGGAGAUAGGUCUUAACCUCGAUAGGCAGAGAAUAGCCUUAUGCAAAAAUGCAUAUGGAGACAGAGCUUAGUCUCAAAAGGCAGAUGAUAGCCUUAUGCAGGAUAGAGGUAGAGUUUAACCUCGGAAGGCAGAGAGUAGCCUUAUGCAAUGAAGGAAUGUAAAAGAGCGAAUAGUAGUAGGUUUUCUUAGCUAAUAGACGGUUGGCAAGAUUAGGACUACUGGGGAGUGCAGAUAAUGACCCUAUGAGGGUUUUGAUCCUGAAAAGCGAAUGUGCUUUGAUCCGUAACAUCAGUUCCUGCAACCAAAGAAAAAACGUGAAUUCUGUAAGGGGGAGGUUAGUUCGUAUCCUCCAUUUCUUAACACCGUGUAUCACGGGGGUAGCGUUUCUAAAUGUUGGUGGUGCAACUGAUAUUUAUUCAUGACUUAGUAAAUAUAAUGCAAGUAUGUAUAAAUAAAAAAUGAUUUUAUUUUGGAUGAACCGACGACUACAACAACGUGGUUCAAGACACGCCAAUCUCGCUUAUUCCGGAAUUUUGAGGAUCCUCCUCAAAAUUCUGCCCGAGUUUACUGGGCUGGCACUGUUGAAGGCUGUGCUGGAUGACUGAACACGGAACGAUCCCAGAAUUUUGAGGGCUCUCCUUAAAAUUCUCCCCCAGUUCAUUGUGUUGGUGUUAAUGAGAAUACUGAAAACCCUAUUUCGGAAUUUUGAGGGUCCUCCUCAAAAGUCUUCCCCAGUUCCAAUUACAGGGGGAAAAUGGAAUUUUUAUUAAAAUGUGACCUAACCCAUAGGGCUACCUACGUAUCCCUUCUUAAACGAGAAUUAGGUCAGGCAUCGUUAUAAUUACAUCAUGAAAGAAAAGCAUAUGAUCAAAUGUAGUAUCUUUUCACUACUUCUGAGUUGAUAGGCUUCGGCCAGACUUCUCCGUCCAUUUCUGGGAGAAUAAGGGCUCCUCCAGUUAGAACCCAAUGGACCAUGUACAGACCCUACCAAUUGAGAAAGAAUUUCAUGUUGAUGAGGAAAUAUUUUCUUUAGUACCAACUGUCCUGGCGCGAACUUCCUCGGCUUGACUCUCUUGUUGAAGGCUUUGGACAUUCUGUUCUGAUAUACUUGACCGUGACAGACAACAUUCAUUCUCUUUCCGUCUAUGAGGGCUAUUUUCUCGUAGAGAUUCUUAACCCAUUCCGCAUCAUCUAAUUAUGCUUAUUGUAUGAUCCUUAAGGAAGGGAUUUCUACCUCGGCGGGAAUGAAUGCCUCUGUACCAUAAACCAGCAUAUGGGGAGUGGCCCCAGUUGAUGUACGGACCGUGGUACGAUAACCAAGUUAGGUGAACGAUAACUUCUCAUGCCACGGUUUGUUCUUUUCGAUCAUCUUCCUUAGUAUCUUCUUGAUGUUCUUAUUAGCUGCUUCUACAUCUCCAUUCAUUUGAGGUCUAUAAGCCGUAGAGUUCUUAUGUUUAAUCUUGAAUGUUUCGCACAUUUCCUUCAUUAGGUCGCUGUUGAGAUUAGAACCAUUGUCGGUGAUGAUUGAUUCCGGAACCCCGAACCGACAAACCAUACGAUCUCGGAUGAAAUCCGCUACUACUUUCUUGGUGACUGCCUUGUAUGAUGCUGCUUUAACCUAUUUGGUAAAGUAAUCAAUUGCCACUAGGAUGAACCUAUGCCCAUUUGACUUGGCUGGUUCAAUUGGUCCAAUGACAUCCAUUCCCCAAGCAGUAAAUGGCCAUGGUGAUCUUGUCGCAUUAAGCUCAUUUUGAGGCACCUUUAUGAUAUCUGCAUGUAUUUGACAAUGGUGGCAUUUACGGACUUACUAGAUACAGUCUUUUUCCAUAGUCAUCUAAAAAUAUCUUACUCGGAGUAUCUUCUUUGCCAAAACAAAACCAUUCAUAUGCGGACCACGGGUCCCUGCGUGCAGUUCCUCCAAUAGUCUAGUUGCUGCUUUCACUUCGACACAUCUUAAUAAUCCCAAAUAAGGAGUCCUCCAAUAUCGGAUUCCUCCACUGUGAAAGAAGUUGUUGGACAAUCUCCGAAGUGUUCAUUUCUGAGUACCAUUGGCAAGCUCUGGGUUCCUAUUGUCAAGUAUUCUCUGAUAUCAUGGAACCAAGGUUUCUGGUCGGAAUCUUCUUCGACGUGAGCACAAUAAGCUUGUUGGUCGUAAAUCUUGACCUAGAUUGGAUGAAUAAAGUGUGUAUCUGGAUGCUGGAUCAUAGAUGAUAAAGUGGCUAAGGCAUCGGCGAACUCAUUCUGUAUUCUGGGAACGUGCUGGAAUUCCGUCUUUCUGAAUCUUUUCCUCAACUCCUGUAUAUGGUGUAGGUAUGGGAGUACCUUGGAAUUCUUGGUUGCCCAUUCUUCUCGAACCUGAUGUAUAAGUAGGUCCGAGUCUCCGAUCACUAAUAGUUCCUGAAUGUUCAUGUCAACGUCCAGUUUGAGCCCUAAGAUGCAGGCUUCGUACUCGCCCAUAUUGUCGGUGCACGGGAAUCCGAGCUUGGAGGAUAUUGGGUGAUGCUGACUAGUUUCUGAUACCAAACUGCUCAUAUACCGACUCCUUUGAAGUUUGUGGCUUCGUCGAAAAACAUCAUCAAACUAUCAUAGGAUUCUGCAAUUUCUUCUCCUAUGAAGGCUAUCUCUUCAUCAUGAAAAUAUGUCUUUAGUGGUUCGUAUUCUCCUCCUAUAGGAUUUUCGGCGAGGUGAUCUGCCAAGGCUUGUCCUUUGACCGCCUUCUGGGUAACAUAAAAGAUGUCAAAUUCACUUAACAGUAUCUGCCACUUGGCGAGCCUGCCUGUAGGCAUGGGAUUCUGAAGGAUAUGCAUUAAUGAGUCCAUCCUGGAUAUGAGAUUAGUGGUGUAAGCGCAGAAAUAGUGCCUUAAUUUCUGAGCUACCCAGGUUAAAGCGCAACAAGUGUUCUCUAAUAAGGAAUACCGAGCCUCAUACAGGGUAAAAUUCUUGUUGAGGUAGUAGAUGGCCUGCUCCUUCCUUCCUAUUUCAUUAUGUUGUCCCAAAAUACAACCAAAUGCCCAUCCAAUACUGCAAGAUAAAGCAAUAGAGGUCUCCCUGGCUCGGGUGGAACCAGGACUGGCGGCGUAGACAAGUAUUCCUUGAUUUUGUUGAAGGCAUUUUGACAAUCAUCAGUCCAUUUAGUGGGGGCAUCCUUAUUUAGAAUCUUGAAGAUGGGUUCACAAAUGACGGUGGACUGAGCUAUGAAUCGGUUGAUAUAGUUGAGCCUCCCUAAAAAACUCAUUACAUCUUUCUUGUUCUUUGGCAGUGGCAACUCUUGAAUGUCUUUGAUCUUUGACGGGUCCAACUCUAUACCCCGGUGACACACAAUGAAACCCAAUAACUUUCCUCCUGGGACCCCUAAUGCACACUUGUAGGGUUUCGGUUUCAGGUUGUAUCUCCUCAGUUUGUUGAAAAUUUUUAUCAAAUCUCCCAUGUGAUCUGCAACUUUUGUGGAUUUGAUGGUGACGUCGUCCACAUAUACCUCAAUCUCUUUGUGUAUCAUAUCAUGAAAGAUUGUGGUCAUGGCCCUCAUUUAGGUAGCACCGGCAUUCUUCAAACCGAAUGGCGUCAUUCUGUAACAGUAUAUUCCCCGCUGCGUGAUGGAUGUCAUUUCUCUGCAUCCUCUUCGUCUAUCCAUAUCUGAUGGUAUCCAGCAAAACAAUCUACGAACGACUACAACUCAUGUUUGGUGCAAUUGUCAAUCAGUAUGUGUAUAUUUGGCAAAGGGAAGCCAUCUUUUGUACUGGCCCGAUUGAGAUCCCGGUAGUCGACAUAGACCCUAACCUUCCUAUCCUUCUUUGACACUGGCACAAUGUUGGCUAACCAUGUUGGAUACUCUACUACUCUGAGAAUCCUAGCUUUGACUUCCUUGGUGACUUCUUCUUCGAUUUUCAAACUCAUGGCUUGUUUGAACUUUUUGAGUUUCUGUUUGACCGAUGGGAAUGCAGAAUCUGCCGACAGUUUGUGAGCCAUAAUGAAUGUGCUGAGACUGGUCAUAUCAUCAUACGACCAGGCGAAUAUAUCCUCAUAUUCUUUCAAAAACUCUGUGUUUUUUUCCUUUUCUGAUGGUGACAAGUGUACGCUGAUGCAUGUUUCCUUGACAUUUUCUGCGUCUCCCAAAUUAACAACCUCAGUUUCGUCAAAGUUAGACUUAGUCCUGUUCUCAAAAUUCUUGACCUCCCUGACAACCUCGUCUAGUAUUUCCUCCUCUUCUGAAUCUAUGUCUAUUUGUCACAUUGUCUCGUUGCAAGUUAUAGUCAUCGGUUCAUCAUCAAGAUAUGUAAUAGUAAUGCUGUGUAAAAUAAAGUAAAUGGUAGAGAAAAUAAAUAAGAGCGAAAUAUAAAGAUAAAUUUGAAAAUGCUUUUAAUUAAAUUCAUAAUUGUCUGAAACAUCGAAGCUCUUUUCAAAAGUAAAGACAAUGCUUAAAAGUAAAAUCAACUAGAAUUAAAGUGCGAUGCAUAUGCGUCGUUUAGCCUUGCUACCCCAAGGAUCUCCGGGCACUGGUGGUUCUGAUUGACCAAUUGGUGUGGUGUUUUCCCUGGUUUAAAACUUGAAUGGAAGGGCCUCCCUCCCCUUCCUCCUCGAAGAUAACACAACAAUCUAUAUCAUCCUCUAGAAACAGGUUCUUCAAUGGUGCCAGUGUCUCGUCUUCCUCUAAUCCAUACAUGACAUCAGCCGGCUGAAAUUUAUGCUCUAACUGCGAUAGAGGGUGCUCCAGUGGGUAGUAGGGACCGCGCCAUGGUGGCGACCAGUGAUUGAACUCCUCCCAAGUGUAUGCAUAACCCACGCCGAAAGUGGUUUCAUGCUUCUUCAACUAGGUAGGCUUGGUGAUAGCCUGGAGAUUCUUGCCAAGCCCAUUUUCGGGCUCGUAUACAUUCCAAUUUAAAAUGCUCUCAAUUAUGUUAUUGCACCACUUGUUUUUGUCUAUGGCGUUGACUCGCUCAAUGUGAUGGUAUGUUUCUCCAUCAAUUUUCCUUCUUCCUCUGAUCAUCGGGAUGGCCUGGCGACUAUAUACGGGGUUGCUUUCGUCACCAUAUAUGAUUACUUCCUGAUGAUUCCAUUCAAAUUUUACAGUCUGAUGCAAAGUUGACGCCAUAUCCCCAGCAGUAUGGAUCCAGGGUCGUCCAUGUAACAAAUUGGCAUGUUGGCACAUCAAUGACUUGGAACUCAACAUCAAACCAUGUGGGUCCCAUCUGCUAGCAUAAGUGACUUUCUCCAAUGGGGACCUCUGAGAUCCAUCAAAAGCUUUGACACUCAUAUCCUCGUCUUUGAUCUCGUGCAAUCCCUUGCCCAAUGUCCUGAGAGUUACCAAUGGACAAAUGUCGAGGCUGGAUCCCCCGUCGACUAGAAUCCUAGUGAUAAAGUGAUCCUCGCAUUACGGAGUGAUGUGCAACUCUUUGUUGUGACCAAGCCCUUCUGGUGGUAAUUCAUCUUCGUGGAAAGUGAUCUUAUGGUUUUCGAGUACCUGCCCUAUCAUGUUUGCAAUUUCGCCUCCUGUUAUGUUGCUGGGAACAUAAGUUUCACCCAAUAUUUUACUUAAGGCAUUUUAUUUGCCUCGGAGAUUUGUAGGAGAGCAAAAAUAGAAAUCUGUGCUGGUGUCUUGUUCAGUUGCAAGACGACCGAGUACUCUUUGACCUUUCUCCAUGGGUCAUCGGAUCCUGUUUCAACAGCCCGCCUGGAGGCCUGCUUGCUAGACUCAGCCAAAUGCUCUGGGUGUAUACCUUGCCUGUCUUGUUCAUGCCUUGUAUGGCAAUUGCUUCUCCGGUAUAUGUGUUUCCUUUCCUUCUAGCCUCAACGGUGUAAUCCCAAGGUAUAGCAUUUGUUUGGGACGGGGUCAUGUCUGUCAUGGAGACUGGAAUUGGUACCCUUGGAGGUAACACAGUAACUUCAAAUGGUGUAGGUGCCUUUGGAACCCCGAACUCGUCCUCAAUUGGUUUUGGCGCUUUUGCAGGUGGUGCUUUCAACUCUAGUAGUAUGGACACAUUUAAUAAAUUGCAUUCAGAGGGCUGAAUCUGGACAACAAUGGGAUUGAGAGUAAUUGUUGUCUUAUUAGGCUCGUCUGACUCAGCUGUUAGUUAGUACCCCCUUGGUUUCGGGGUGGACCUUUCACUCUAUUUUAUUAUAUACGCUUAGCGAAAAGCCUUCAGCUAUCAAUCUAAUUGACCCCUUGGGGUCCUAAUCAUCUCCGAUCUCGAUCAUAUGGAGGCCUCCACCCUUGUGGUCAGGCAGAGGGUUGUUGCAGACAUUAAGAGCGGGCUCCUUGGCUAUAAUGAUCUUGUUGUCAAUCAGAUUGUGAAUCUUUCCUUUCAAGGAGAGACACUCGUCGAUGGUAUGGACUUUCAUCCCAGAAUGGUAUGCGCAAGUCUUAUUUGGUUUGAUCCACUGGGAAGGGUUUACUGAAGUUACGGCUGGGAUAGGGGUAACUUUUAUGGCUGCCUUGAGAUUUUCAUACAAUUGGUCAAUUUUCUCGGCUAUGGCGUUAUAUUGUCUACGAGGUUUGCGGUCGAAGCUUGGUCUAGGCCGAGGAAAAUUUUGGCGGGCAGGCGGUGAUGGGUACUGAGAUGGUUGGGAGUUAUAUGCUUUGUAUACGGGUGCGGGUUGGGAAUAUCUAGGUGAAGUGGGUUGAUAUGCAGGUGGUGGAGGUGAUUGGUAACCAGGUGGUGGAAUUUGGUUAGUGGGUGAUGGUGCCUGGUAAUUUAGGGUAGGCUGAUAUGUGAGUGGAGCUGAGGGAUAGAUCUGGUAUUUCAUGGGGGAGAUGUUUCUUUGCGCAGCCAUUACAGAAUGUACAUCCUUUUUCUUAGACGAGCCACCAGACUAUAAAGCCUUAUUGGUAGCUUGUAAUGCUUCGAGGUUUGUGACCAUACCAUUUUUGAUGCCUUCUUCGAUACUUUCUCCCAACUUGAUGAUGUCAGAGAACUUUUGGCCCUCUAUUAGCAUCAGCCUCUUAAUACUAUGGAUACUGAGCAAGAAUAAGGAACCUCCUCAUUGGUUCUUGUUCCAAGGCUGGCCUAACCUUAGCAGCUUCGGACCUCCAAUGAGUAGUAUACUUGCGAAGGUUUCUAUGGGCGUCUUCUUGAGAUUCUGGAUAUAGAACAUAUUUGGUGCGUUCUCAGUGUUGAACCUAAACCGAUCCAUAAAAUCUGACGCCGUUUUUACCCAAUUGGUCCAUUUCUUCGCAUCCUACCUAAUCUACCAGGAUAAAGUAUCACCCUUCAAGCUCUUCAUGAAUAGCUUCAUGUAGAUCUUCUUGUCCCUUCUGACUCCUACUAAAUACAUUCUCAAGUGGACCCUGGGGUCACCUGUGCCAUCGAACAUUUCAAACUUGGGAGGUUUUUACCCCUCCAGGAGCUCAACAUCUGGUUGAACAUAGAGAUCUUCGUAAUUCAAACCCCUCAACACCUUUGUUACCUUUGAAACCUUGGACCCGGCUAUUAGACUUCUUGAUCUUAGUGGCCAAAUUCUGAAUGAGGGAAGUUUUAUCCUCUGCCUCGACCGCACUGGUGAUAGGCUGACCAUAAUGCGGCAUAGUGUCCACUAUCUCAGUGGCCAAAUCCUGAAUGAGAGAGCUCUUUCCAUCUGACUCGACUGCACUGGCGAAUGGCUGGCUGUAAUGUGGCAUAAUGUCCACAAAGAUUGGACUGUUAUGGUCUUUUGUGGUGUUUUGUGGUGCAGUGGAGUGUUGUGAGUGGGUUGCAUUGGAGGUUGUGGAAUAUUUUGUGGUAGUGCGGGGUUCUGGGUGUUAACAUCAGGAGAGGAAAUAGUGAUUGACAGUCUUGCUAGGUUUCUAACUAUGUCCAAUUCCUCUCGGAAUCUCAACAAAGUUUGUUCCAGAUGAGCAGCAGUCUCUUUGGUGAUUGCAGCAUUCUGAGAAGUUUCUUCUAGUUCCUUUCUAGCGCUUGCAUCUCCCAUUUUGCUUUUGUUCUUGUUUCUGGUAGGACUAAGAGGAAGAGGAGGUGGAGGAACCUUGGAUCUUGCGGAGCACGCUGAUGGUGCCAGAAUGCACGAACUAAUCUUUGUGGAGGGGAAUAAAAAUAAAAGAAAAACAAAAAGGUAAAAACUUAGUGCGGAUUCUGAUAAUUAAUAUUGCAAUAUUUAAACACGUUGUGCGAGAAUAUAAAUCGCUUCCUAAUUUGGGUGCCUCGUUGUGCCCGAGGUAGGCCUAGCGACGAAUAAAAUUUGGAGAACUUGUAAAGCCAAAUGCCUCAUUUUGUUGAUGAAAAAAAAUGAGUCUAAAACAACUAAAUGAUAAAGACGUUACUAACGGCCAGAGGCCUAAUUACAUUUAGGAAGAACAAGUCUAAAACAACUAAAUGACAAAAGAUGUCAUUAAUGGCUAGUGUCCUUAUUAUAUUAAAGUAGAAGGUAAAAAUCCUAACUAAUUGGUCCCAGAAAGACCUUUCCCAGAUUCGGUAUUCUUGCCUGCAUCGUAUAGCUGCAUCAACUCGCGUAUCCCUAACAGUAGGUAGGCUCGAGCUAGACGCCCGCCCGCGCUUCCCUCAGAAUUUUGACAGUCUUCAAUACUUUUUAAGAACUUCCCUUCCAACUCCACUAGACCUUGCUCCAGAUACCCCAAGCGGUUGUUGGCGUUGACAGCCAUAUCAUUCCACUCGUUGAUUAGCUUCUCGUGGGCUUCCUGUAUUUCCCGAUGUUUGUUCUCACAUUCUCUCAUCCUCUUGAGCCGUUGAUUGUAUUUGACUUGUGCUUCAGUUUUCUUGUCAAUAAUACUGUGACCGUGGACGAACCCUGGAUGACCCAAACCAAUGUGAUCAUCUUCCAACCAACAUGUGUAGUGCGGCACACACCCGACAUGAUACCUUUCUGGCUCAAUAGAAUCCUUCCCUUGAAUUAGCUUGAAGUGCCACAUAUGCUAAGUGUGACACCUGUGUGGGCUAUCAUCAUUUUGAAAGUCACCCCUAAAAUGACUCAUUUUCUCUAGUCCUAUUUUCUAUGUGGUAGUUGUGGGGUACGGCGUCUAUGAAUGGUGACGAGUAUCUAUACGUUGGUGACUAGCAUGCUCGUGAGUCUUUAUAUUGUGAUUAUCAUGACUUCGUUUAUCUUUCAUGCCUUGGUGGUGGUUUCUAUUUGUUGUAUAAAUUUUGUGGAAGGAAUUGUGACCUAUAACAUUGAGGAGAGUUGGAUCAAGUUGUAUAACAAAUUAUUAGAGUAUAAGUGAUAACUGAAUCUAGAGUUGUGCACGGAUCGGAUCAGAUCGGGUUUAACACAUUUCAGAUUCGAAUUUCAGAUUUCGAAUUCUAAAAAUAUAAUCUGAAUCCGAUCCGAAUUAUAUCGGUGGGAUUGGAUUUAAAAGUUUGGAUCGGAUCAGAUCGGAUUUCGAAUAGUAUCCUUAUGCCUUAAUGUUAAACUGAUAUGUAUAUUUUCUUUGUAAAAGAAGCAAUACAUUAAUAAAUAUUUAUGUUUAUGCAAUUAUGAGAGUACUAUGGUCUCAAUAUAGCUAAAUUUAGCAAUUGUAAAUGUAAUAACUUGGAGGUUGAUGUAUAGGAAGUACUGACUAUUCGAAUUAAAGUGUAGUAUUUUAUACAUGCCCUAAUAAGUUUGGAUUUCGGAUCGGAUCGUAGUGGAUUAAAAUAUACCAAUCUUAAUCCGAUUUGAAAUCCAAAAUUUUAAAAGAUACAAUCCGAAAUCAGAUCCAAUCCUAAAUCCAAAACUGAAUGGAUCGGUUCGGAUUUUGGAUAUCUGAUCUGAAUGAACAUCCCUAAUUGAACCUCUAGAGCAUUGGCUCGAGUUGUGAAAUUAAUUGUGAAGAAAAAGUGAGAAAAAGAAGAGAUCAUUCUGUUGCCACCCUUGCCGGGUUAUUGUUGUUUUAUAUGUUAUCUCUCUUCACGGGAUGUUGAUAUCAUUAAUGUUGUUCCCUUAUUGGGACUAAAUUAUUAUAUUGUUGUUCUCUUGCCGGGAUUCUUAUUAUGAUUUCAUUUAUUCCCUUGCCCUAUUGUUUGUGAUUGUUUUUUGGUGAGGAAGAGACUAAAAACACGAAGGGUGAUAUCGUGCCUUAUUUUUGUAAGAAACGAGUAUAAAGCACGACGGAUGACAUCGUAUUGUGCGGAAAGAGUGUAACGCACAAAGGGUAAUGUCGUGCCGCACGAUGUACCAUUUUGUUCCGAUUAUAUUGAUUAUAUGGUGAGAAAAAAGAGUAAAGGCACAAAGGGUGAUGUCGUGUACAUUUUUAUUAUAUGAUUUCUUGGUGAGGACAAGAAUAAAAGCACGAAGGGUAAUGUCAUGCAUUUAUUGAUUUAUGAUUCUUUGUUAAUAUCCAAGUUAUAUUGUUUCUUUCGUUUGCUUGAAGUCUUUCUAUUCGGAAUUGAUAUUUCCUUCGCAGCAUGCUCCCCUUCCCAUAUUUGACUAUUUAUUUCUAUACUUCUUUUCCGCUGUAUAUAUUGAAUUACACAGGUUAUUUGGUAGUCUGGUCCUAGCCUCGUCACUACUUUGCCG
Molecule: long non-coding RNA, 20640 nt
Filed under: Nicotiana benthamiana
Lineage: Eukaryota; Viridiplantae; Streptophyta; Magnoliopsida; Solanales; Solanaceae
Description: long non-coding RNA (NBEN_LNC007860)
Source: RNAcentral